AGUGAACGCUGGCGGUAGGCCUAACACAUGCAAGUCGAACGGCAGCACAGUAAGAUCUUGCUCUUACGGGUGGCGAGUGGCGGACGGGUGAGGAAUACAUCGGAAUCUACUUUUUCGUGGGGGAUAACGUAGGGAAACUUACGCUAAUACCGCAUACGACCUACGGGUGAAAGCAGUGGAUCUUCGGACCUUGCGCGAUUGAAUGAGCCGAUGUCGGAUUAGCUAGUUGGCGGGGUAAAGGCCCACCAAGGCGACGAUCCGUAGCUGGUCUGAGAGGAUGAUCAGCCACACUGGAACUGAGACACGGUCCAGACUCCUACGGGAGGCAGCAGUGGGGAAUAUUGGGCAAUGGGCGCAAGCCUGAUCCAGCCAUACCGCGUGGGUGAAGAAGGCCUUCGGGUUGUAAAGCCCUUUUGUUGGGAAAGAAAAGCAGCGGGUUAAUACCCCGCCGUUUUGACGGUACCCAAAGAAAAAGCACCGGCUAACUUCGUG
Molecule: ribosomal RNA, 492 nt
Filed under: uncultured bacterium
Lineage: Bacteria
Description: partial 16S ribosomal RNA
Rfam family: Bacterial small subunit ribosomal RNA
Source: RNAcentral